GCUAAAUUAAAGAAACAGGUUAAACGUACAAAAGAAAUCUUGAGUGCCAACACAAUGGCUCCAAUAUCGGUUGAAUCUCUCUAUGAUGAUGGAGACUUCAGGAGUAGUAUAACACGUGAUAAGUUUGAAGAGCUGUGUGAAGAUUUGUGGGAUCGAUCUCUUACCCCUCUCAAAGAAGUGCUUAAUCAUUCGGGGCUGAAGGUGGAUGAAAUAUAUGCGGUUGAGCUUAUAGGAGGGGCUACCAGAGUGCC
Molecule: unclassified non-coding RNA, 251 nt
Filed under: Hevea brasiliensis (rubber tree)
Lineage: Eukaryota; Viridiplantae; Streptophyta; Magnoliopsida; Malpighiales; Euphorbiaceae
Source: RNAcentral